CUAGAUACGCCACUGUAAAUCGUAGAUUCCUAAAAAUAAGCGCAAUACACAUUAUAUGUUUGUGUUAUACCUGCAUUUGUGGUCUACGUAGGGGUUUCCGAAACUAAACAAAACCUGUGAAACCCGCAUUCAAUGUCUCAGUAUACCAGACGUCAGUUAGAAAACAUUAACAAACGAAUCGUGGCGUUUAGGUCGAAACUAUUGAAA
This is a non-coding RNA of Cinara cedri, 207 nucleotides long. NCBI's taxonomy places the organism in Eukaryota, Metazoa, Arthropoda, Insecta, Hemiptera, Aphididae. The record is from the annotation of a GenBank genome assembly.